This 468-nucleotide ribosomal RNA is filed under the name Triticum aestivum (bread wheat). RNAcentral's name for it is "partial small subunit ribosomal RNA". Lineage: Eukaryota; Viridiplantae; Streptophyta; Magnoliopsida; Poales; Poaceae. The record is from RNAcentral.
AUGUCUUCUUCAAGCUCCCGCGGUACCUCGCGGAUGCAGAGCCCGGCGAGCGUGGAGAUGCCUAUCUUCGUCUAUCUGCGGUGUCGGGCGGCUGUUGAUCGGAGGGUUUCUCACACAUUGAGGAACCAGAAUCAUCUGCUCUACGUGUGCGGCGAGAAUGGGGUGAAAUGUUUCUUCCUUUGGGUGGAUGCUCUGGCCAAGACUCUGAUGAAUGAACUGCAAGAAGAGCAUGAAGAAUGGUUGCGCAUGCUGCCACGAACGACAGUGGCCGCAGCACGAGCUCCGGAAGAAGAGAUGGAGGGCGAACCACACACUGACAGAGAGCUAGCUGUUGAGCUUAGGAUGCUGAAGCAGAAGGUUAGGAAGCUUGAAGAUCAAGCACAAAUACUCAGUUGCAAUUACUUUUCGGCAUUUGUAGCUAUCGUAAUCGCACUGGGUAUAAUGUUGAAAUUGUAUGGAGAGGCAUGA